Molecule: ribosomal RNA, 253 nt
Filed under: uncultured bacterium
Lineage: Bacteria
Description: partial 16S ribosomal RNA
Rfam family: Bacterial small subunit ribosomal RNA
Source: RNAcentral
UGCGUAUGGUGCAAGCGUUAUCCGGAUUUACUGGGUGUAAAGGGAGCGCAGGCGGCACGGCAAGCCUGAUGUGAAAGCCCGCGGCCCAACCGCGGGACUGCAUUGGGAACUACCGGGCUGGAGUGCCGGAGAGGUAGGCGGAAUUCCUAGUGUGGCGGUGAAAUGCGUAGAUAUUAGGAGGAACACCAGUGGCGAAGGCGGCCUACUGGACGGUGACUGACGCUGAGGCUCGAAAGCGUGGGGAGCAAACAGG